AACACAUGCAAGUCGAACGAACCUUCGGGUUAGUGGCGGACGGGUGAGUAACGCGUGAGAAUCUGCCCUCAGGAGGGGGAUAACGGCUGGAAACGGCCGCUAAUACCCCAUAUGCCGCGAGGUGAAACGAAUUUCGCCUGAGGAUGAGCUCGCGUCUGAUUAGCUAGUUGGUGGGGUAAGAGCUUACCAAGGCAUCGAUCAGUAGCUGGUCUGAGAGGAUGAUCAGCCACACUGGGACUGAGACACGGCCCAGACUCCUACGGGAGGCAGCAGUGGGGAAUUUUCCGCAAUGGGCGAAAGCCUGACGGAGCAACGCCGCGUGAGGGAUGAAGGCCUCUGGGCUGUAAACCUCUUUUAUCAAGGAAGAAGAUCUGACGGUACUUGAUGAAUAAGCCACGGCUAAUUCCGUGCCAGCAGCCGCGGUAAUACGGGAGUGGCAAGCGUUAUCCGGAAUUAUUGGGCGUAAAGCGUCCGCAGGCGGUCUUUUAAGUCUGUUGUUAAAGCGUGGAGCUUAACUCCAUUUCAGCAAUGGAAACUGGGAGACUAGAGUGUGGUAGGGGCAGAGGGAAUUCCCGGUGUAGCGGUGGAAUGCGUAGAUAUCGGGAAGAACACCAGUGGCGAAGGCGCUCUGCUGGGCCAUAACUGACGCUCAUGGACGAAAGCCAGGGGAGCGAAAGGGAUUAGAUACCCCUGUAGUCCUGGCCGUAAACGAUGAACACUAGGUGUCGGGGGAAUCGACCCCCUCGGUGUCGUAGCCAACGCGUUAAGUGUUCCGCCUGGGGAGUACGCACGCAAGUGUGAAACUCAAAGGAAUUGACGGGGGCCCGCACAGCGUGCAGUAUGUGGUUUAAUUCGAUGCACGCGAGAACCUUACCAGGGUUUGACAUCCUGCGAAUCCCUUGA
Molecule: ribosomal RNA, 903 nt
Filed under: uncultured bacterium
Lineage: Bacteria
Description: bacterial SSU rRNA
Rfam family: Bacterial small subunit ribosomal RNA
Source: RNAcentral